CAGUUUGACCUCGGAUCAGGUAGGGUUACC
RNAcentral lists this ribosomal RNA (30 nucleotides) under Acaulium albonigrescens. Its description in RNAcentral is "partial 28S ribosomal RNA". The record is from RNAcentral. Lineage: Eukaryota; Fungi; Ascomycota; Sordariomycetes; Microascales; Microascaceae.